AUCGCUUCUUGGCCUUUUGGCUAAGAUCAAGUGUAGUAUAGUUUCCUUUCCAUUCUCUAACUUAAAGUUUCUUUUAUUACCUUAUCCCGGUGGCUUGAACCUCUAGUAAGGUGUUGAAGUAGCAAGAACUUGCCUUAUUUACAAUCUU
Molecule: small nuclear RNA, 148 nt
Organism: Bos grunniens (domestic yak)
Lineage: Eukaryota; Metazoa; Chordata; Mammalia; Artiodactyla; Bovidae
Gene: U2
Rfam family: U2 spliceosomal RNA
About the family: U2 is a small nuclear RNA (snRNA) component of the spliceosome (involved in pre-mRNA splicing).
Source: Ensembl